CUGACAGCUUUCUGAUUACAGUGGGACACUAAGGGAGCUGCCACCAAGUGGGAAUGCUGGAUGUUAGAAGCAAAACCUUAAACAACCUUGGCAUUUGGUGGAGAAACAACACAGAUGGGCAUACCAGAGUAGCUUGCUCACAACAGCCCUUCAUUCCCUACAGCCUUUCAUUCCCAGCAAAGAACCUGGCUAUAAACCAGACCGGGCUGUUCUUGAGUGUAAGUUUACCUUCACAGGAAAUCCAUUGUUUGGGAAGCUAAUGGAAUCACCACACCCUGCAAGCACACAGAUGAAGCUCUCAGAUAAAGAAGGAACCAUUGCUUUGUACUGCAGUUUCAGUGUUGGGCUGUACCUGCUGGCAUUUCCUGGAAAAGCAGAAAUAAAUACGCAUUUUCUUGAUAUCCUUUAUUGGAU
This 414-nucleotide long non-coding RNA is filed under the name Parus major (Great Tit). RNAcentral describes it as "lncRNA (ENSPMJG00000000674.1)". The record is from RNAcentral. Lineage: Eukaryota; Metazoa; Chordata; Aves; Passeriformes; Paridae.